GGGAAGGUGGCUCAGUGGUAGAGCGCUUGUCUUGCAUGCAUGAGGCCCUGGGUUCAAUUCCUCACUACCA
Molecule: transfer RNA, 70 nt
Filed under: Dipodomys ordii (Ord's kangaroo rat)
Lineage: Eukaryota; Metazoa; Chordata; Mammalia; Rodentia; Heteromyidae
Rfam family: tRNA
About the family: Transfer RNA (tRNA) molecules are approximately 80 nucleotides in length. Their secondary structure includes four short double-helical elements and three loops (D, anti-codon, and T loops).
Source: Rfam by way of RNAcentral